UACGUAGGUGGCAAGCGUUGUCCGGAAUUAUUGGGCGUAAAGCGCGCGCAGGCGGCCUUUUAAGUCUGAUGUGAAAGCCCCCGGCUCAACCGGGGAGGGUCAUUGGAAACUGGAAGGCUUGAGUGCAGAAGAGAAGAGCGGAAUUCCACGUGUAGCGGUGAAAUGCGUAGAGAUGUGGAGGAACACCAGUGGCGAAGGCGGCUCUUUGGUCUGUAACUGACGCUGAGGCGCGAAAGCGUGGGGAGCAAACAGG
Molecule: non-coding RNA, 253 nt
Filed under: uncultured bacterium
Lineage: Bacteria
Also listed under: 1 other name
Description: partial 16S ribosomal RNA
Rfam family: Bacterial small subunit ribosomal RNA
Source: RNAcentral